RNAcentral lists this long non-coding RNA (1569 nucleotides) under Durio zibethinus. RNAcentral describes it as "long non-coding RNA (DZIB_LNC001831)". Lineage: Eukaryota; Viridiplantae; Streptophyta; Magnoliopsida; Malvales; Malvaceae. The record is from RNAcentral.
CAUUUAUGAUAUUAGAGCGAGUUUGAUCCUAAUUUUCUUUGUCUUUUUCAUUCUCUAUGAUAUUUGUUCACAAAACCACUCUUAUUUAACACAUAGAAUAUCAAAAACAAUAUAACAUUUUAGGCCAUUCUUUUGUAGAUUUAUGUAACCUUUGAUAUAGCAUUUUAGGCCUUCCUAUCGCAUAUGAAGAUACUUACCUAUGGUAGAACCACAUCUAACAUACAUCUAUUUAUUCUAUAGUUACUAAAACGAUGACACAUGGACUGUUAAAAGUGUUACAAAAUAUGGUCUGCUGUUGUUUCGAAACGAAUGAACAAGCUGUGAUUCUCAACACAACUACAAAGGGGAAGGUUCUUAAUUUCAUCUAUCUGGAAGUGUUUAUGACCUACCGCCUUCAAACUCUUCCAUAUUGUUUUAUAUUUGUAUUAAUUUUUUAAGCAAAACUAAUGAUUCAUCUCCCAAACUUAAAUAAUCAGCCAAAUUUUUUUUUUCAAAAACUCUUACUUUUCUUCUACUAAGAUGAUCGCUCGGAGGAGGUAGCGGCACUAAUUAAACGGGAGAGCCUUGGAAAGGGGGACCGGGGCCAAGCUGAGCUUAUAAGGGUAUGCGGCAUGGUUAAAUAAAUAAAGGAGAGCAUUCAACUCGUGUGUUUGGCGUGGAUCAUAGAGGCGGAUUUUUCGUGGGAUGGAUUCACAAAGGUUCUUAUGACCUUGCCCGGGAGUAGUAUGCUUAGCUUAGAUGAGAUUAUGGCUAAGGAAAGAAAUCAAUCGAAGCCUAGGAAGCGGAUAAAUUCCCUUAACCUAUUUAAUUCCUUCCAAAAACAAACCAAAGGGUAUUUGGAAAGUCUAAGAAUAGGAAUUCUUUCGAUGGCUUUUGGAAAGGACAGAGGCAAACAAAUUUAAUUCCAGGUAGAAAUUCAUUCUUUUGAUAACUUUUAAACUCCCUUUUGUAAAUGCCCGAGUUAGAUUUCACUCAUGAAAUAUAUUGAUUUAAGGUUCUAUCAGAUGGCUUAUCUUAGAUUCUUAUAUUUUGGGUAAAUUAUAGUAAAAGUUGAUGUAAUUGUCAUAACAAACACUUUACUAAGCUUAAUUAUUAAUUUUUCUCUUAUUAGUAGAAGGAGUGAAUUUCAAAUGUUUUUCUUAAACAGUGAGUCAAGAGCUUAAUCUAUGGCUUUAAGGGUUGGUAUAUCUUUGAUUCUGAAGUUAGAAAUGGAUAUAAUUUGACCAGUUAAUUUAUAGAAAGUAAAUUCAUCAUAAACAUAAUAGUUGAGCUUACUCUCUAGGAUGCAAAGUAGCAAGGGAUAUAAUUUCAUCAGAGCUAUUCUUAAUUAUUGAGGCAGUAUAUUAUAAUCUUCUUUUUUUUUCUCUUUUACUGCUAUAUUGUCAUGAGUUAUAUUUGCAGUAUUGUACCUGAAGUUAAGUUUAUUGAGUUGAUUUAAAUGUUGUUAAUAAAAAUGAUUAUUGGUUUACUUUUAAAUGAUUGUUGCUAAUUGUUCUUGAUUUAAAAAAAAAAAAAAUAGGUGAGAUCUAGUAUUUUCAAUCUAAUCUCCCUAUUUCAACUAUUGGGUAA